This is a long non-coding RNA of Falco peregrinus (peregrine falcon), 510 nucleotides long. RefSeq lists it as uncharacterized. The transcript is spliced from 2 exons. Lineage: Eukaryota; Metazoa; Chordata; Aves; Falconiformes; Falconidae. The record is from RefSeq and is a predicted model, not a curated record.
GGUUUUUUAAAGAAUCCACAGAAAGAAUGUACAUAUUCCAAUGAGAAAGAGCUAUCCAAUUAUCAUACUCCCUUCAAGGUCAGACUGCUUUUACUACCAUUGUGAAAGCUCUGAUUUCAGAAAGAAGGCAACCAAAUCUAAGGGUGAAGGGUAGGAAAUGAUUCCUUAUAUGACACAAAACUGUUAGUGAGGGGUCUAAGCAUCUGAAAAUACUUAAAAGACCAGGGUCUUAUUCUUUACAUGCACAAGACUUACUAUUGAGUAAGCUGCAUCGUUCUGCUAAGAAUGGUGCAGUUCUCAAGGCUCGGGAGAAGUUUCUAUAACAUGUAAAAUACACGGAGCACCUUUCAACACAAAGCAGCAGUGACAAAUUCUCUACUAAACUGGAGGGUCGAAGUUAAAAAGCUUUUUAUGUUAGUAAGGGAGGCCAUGCCAAAAAGCUGACGGGACCACCUGCGGUCCCUGACAGCUCAUCAGCAGCACAAUGAGUAAAUACAUGUUAAAAAUCGA